UAAUACAUGCAAGUCGAGCGAACUGAUUAGAAGCUUGCUUCUAUGACGUUAGCGGCGGACGGGUGAGUAACACGUGGGCAACCUGCCUGUAAGACUGGGAUAACUUCGGGAAACCGAAGCUAAUACCGGAUAAGAUCUUCUCCUUCAUGGGAGAUGAUUGAAAGAUGGUUUCGGCUAUCACUUACAGAUGGGCCCGCGGAGCAUUAGCUAGUUGGUGAGGUAACGGCUCACCAAGGCAACGAUGCAUAGCCGACCUGAGAGGGUGAUCGGCCACACUGGGACUGAGACACGGCCCAGACUCCUACGGGAGGCAGCAGUAGGGAAUCUUCCGCAAUGGACGAAAGUCUGACGGAGCAACGCCGCGUGAGUGAUGAAGGCUUUCGGGUCGUAAAACUCUGUUGUUAGGGAAGAACAAGUACGAGAGUAACUGCUCGUACCUUGACGGUACCUGACCAGAAAGCCACGGCUAACUACGUGCCAGCAGCCGCGGUAAUACGUAGGUGGCAAGCG
This 510-nucleotide ribosomal RNA is filed under the name uncultured Bacillus sp. Its description in RNAcentral is "bacterial SSU rRNA". It matches the Rfam family "Bacterial small subunit ribosomal RNA", at positions 49 to 540 of the family's 1533-position model. Lineage: Bacteria; Bacillati; Bacillota; Bacilli; Caryophanales; Bacillaceae. The record is from RNAcentral.